Molecule: ribosomal RNA, 459 nt
Filed under: uncultured bacterium
Lineage: Bacteria
Description: partial 16S ribosomal RNA
Rfam family: Bacterial small subunit ribosomal RNA
Source: RNAcentral
CCUACGGGAGGCAGCAGUGAGGAAUAUUGGUCAAUGGUCGGGAGACUGAACCAGCCAAGCCGCGUGAGGGAUGAAGGUACAGAGUAUCGUAAACCUCUUUUGUCAGGGAACAAAGGCGGGGACGUGUCCCCGGAUGAGUGUACCUGAAGAAAAAGCAUCGGCUAACUCCGUGCCAGCAGCCGCGGUAAUACGGAGGAUGCGAGCGUUAUCCGGAUUUAUGGGGUUUAAAGGGUGCGCCGGCGGUCUUUUAAGUAGGCGGUCAAAGCCCGGGGCUCACCCCCGGCCCGCCGUUGAAACUGGCAGUCUCGAGUUGGAGAGAAGUAUGCGGAAUGCGCGGUGUAGCGGUGAAAUGCAUAGAUAUCGCGCAGAACUCCGAUUGCGAAGGCAGCAUGCCGGCUCCACACUGACGCUGAGGCACGAAAGCGUGGGUAUCGAACAGGAUUAGAUACCACAGUAGUC